This is a non-coding RNA of Xyrichtys novacula (pearly razorfish), 809 nucleotides long. NCBI's taxonomy places the organism in Eukaryota, Metazoa, Chordata, Actinopteri, Labriformes, Labridae. The record is from the annotation of a GenBank genome assembly.
GGCCCUCCAUGGCACAUGAUUGUACACCCCUGACCUAAAGCUCCUUAAAAUAUAUUGUCCUUUGUUCUUACCGUACAUGGAUUUUUCUUAGGGUCAACUACAUGUCAGCAGUAUGUUUAGAAAUGUGGACAGGUAUAUAUACUUGAACAGUCUCAGACCAAUCUUUGUUACACUUUGUUAAACUUGUGUUAUGAUGAAGCUGUAACCCAGACCUGCAAUCAGUAAAGCUUGUCAAAAUGAUCAUUCGUGUGGACCUUCCAUUUUUUAUAGUGUGAACCUGGGCUAGGCAUCCUUACAAAAACACUGCUGCUUCUCAGUCUAGGUUGGGGAACAACUAAACUUUGCUGAAACAUGGAUGAUUAAGAUAGAGGACAGUGGUUUUAAUAGAAAAAACAAAUUGAAUUUAUUUAGCACCUUUCAAAGUUUCAUAAUGUUCAGCCACUACUGUUAUUUAAUUAUUUUUUCUCUCUCUCAAUGUCAGAAAAUAGUUUUUAUUCCUGUGUCUGGAGUCAGCUGAAAAACUGUGAAGGGAAAAUAACCAGAGUCUCUGCCUCUGUAACCUGAGGUUCAGAUUAAAUGUUUCUGUUUCUCCAUGUUUCCUAAACUGGUUCCUAAAGGAUUCAGUUUUUAUACUGAAAAACAUACAGCAGAAUAAGAUAAUGAAGUUAGGGGCUUAAUAAAAUGUUUCAGAUGAUUUCAGGGCUUCAGAUGGAGGUUUAUGAUUACUUUGUGUAUUUUGCAUCAAUGACAGAUCCAGACAGUGAUUUACUACCCCAGUAUUUAUUUGUACCUUGAUGCUCAGAAGUCUU